AUUUCUAGAAGCAGCUGAGCAACACUGGUAGUGGUUAAGAUGACAGGCCCAGGAGUUUGACAGAAGCAGCUUUAAAUCCUGUGUUUUUGCCAACUUAUUCAACCCCUGUGAGCCUGAGAUGGGGGCAUCAAAUCAUACGAGCAUCCCAGUGCUCUUGUUGAAGGAGCUUCUCGGGGGACAGAGGUGAAAUGGAAUCGAUGUGGGAGACAAGGAGCCUUCCAGUAGUGGUUCAACACAGUUCUUCAAAACACGACACUCUUGAUAAGUUUAUCCUGUGAUAGAAGGAGAUGAAAACUCAGAAAUGACUGCUAGCCUGGACAAGUCCCAGUCUGUGAUUCGAGUGCCACAGCAUUCUAGUAAAAUUAUCUGGAGAGAAAAACCCUUGAUGUGCAGGUGAGGAGCAGCUGAUGUCUGAAGUCUGAUAUGGCAAGAAAGUUCCAGAUUCUGGAAGAAGAAACUAAACCCGUCAAAACAUAAGUGAGAGACACUACAACCAGCUUAAAACAAUAUGGGCAAUUGAAAAAAGACUGAGAAUGUUCACAUACAUUGCUGGGGCCUGUGAGGAGAGUUAGGUCCCGUGUCUGCUGCAGUGCUGGUUGCAAAGAGCAGAGAGGCCGCAGCUCCCCUGGGAGAAGAAGGCAGGGGACAUGAUGUAGGGUCAGGGUGUGGAGACAAAGUUGAUGGCGAGGAGAAGGGAUCAGGAGGAAGCUGCACAGUCCAAUGGGCACUGAACAUUCAGCACUGGGAGAAAAUAUCAGUUCUACCCCAAGAUUGCUAAGAAGAGGGGAAAAGCCCACUGGAUAGGUCAUCAUAGAGGCGUCCACACUGAGAGUGUCACCUGAAAGGGCAGGUCAGAAUCUUAGGCGAGAGCAGAAGAAAGGACCAUACUUGGUUGAAAGACAGAAAUGGAGCAUCCUGUAUAUGAGCUGACCUGCAGAGCACAGGUGGCAUGGUGUGUCAAAGCAGAUGACCUGGUGGCACACGAAGAGGAAGGGCUGGCGACCUACAGAAAGCAAUUCAAAGAUCCUGGGGGAAAACUGGAAAGAAUAAUUUCUUCUUUUCAGAGACAGAUCCUGUCCCAGGAGGGAAGAGCUCAUGACCACUGGUGGAAGCUUGGAGGAUGAACAAAACCUCAUUAUUUCCAGAUGGGAGAUCACAGACCUGAAACAAAGAGAAACAAAAGACAAUUUAUCUCAAGCCUCUUGUUUGUAAUUUUAAUUUUUAAUUUUUGUGGGUACAUAGUAGGUGUGUGUAUUUAUGGGGUACAUAUGGUAUUUUGAUACAGGCAUACGAUAUGUAAUAAUCACAUCAUGGAAAAUUGGGUAUUAAUCCCCUCAAGCGUUUAUCCUUUGAAGCUGCUGCUUCUUCUCCUCCUCCUUCUUCCUCUUCUCCUCCUCCUUCUCCUCCUCGUCUUCCUCCUUCUCCUUUCUUCUUCGCUCCUCCUCCUGCUCUCCUCCUCCUCCUCCUUCUUCUCCUUCUCCUCCUCUUCUUUUUAAGGGCAGGGUCUUGCUCUGUCACCCAGGCUGGAGUACAGUGGUAUGAUCAUGGCUCACUGCAGCCUCAACCUCCUGGGCUCAAGCAAUUGUCCUGCCUCAGCCUCCCAGGUAGCUGGGACUACAGCUCCUCAAGCUUCUUGAAGUGGAUCUUAAUGCAUUUGACAAUCCUGGUGGGGCAUUAGGCAGGGAGUAAAUACGUCCUGACCUCUGAGACCGAAGUGUCCCUCGUGCCUCUCCUCAGACCCUCCCUUUCGCUGCCAGGCUGUGUUCCCCUCCCCUCUCCUUUUCCUUCUCCCUCCUCCUCUGCCAUUCUCCAAUCCAGUGUUUCAUGUGCAUCCAAAUGGAGAGGAGUAGUGUUGUUACGAGCACUCCCUCUUCCUCCACCUCCUCCGGGACUCUGUGCACCCCGCAUCCCAGCUGGCUCCCCACCAAGGUGUCUUAGGCCUCCUUUUUCUCCAUCACAGUCUGGGUUUUUCUUACACACCUUUAUCCAGAAAAUGGAAGUGACUUACCUUUUGGUUUCCCUCAGCCUCCAUCUGACCCUAGCAGUAAAAAUCCUGAAACACUGCAAAGACAUCAAGUCAUUAGGUUUUGUCUUUUUUCCUUGAAAUAUUGUUGACUUCUAUAUACCUAAUUUUAGGAUAGAUAGCUGUUUUUUAUGCAAGUGAUUUUAUUUUCUCUCAUUUUGCUUCUUGAUACUAAUAUAAAUUUCAGGUUAGAUUUAGAAAAUAAAGAUCACUUGAAUACUCCUGUUACAUUAUACCCUCUAGAAAAUGUAAGUAGCAGAGUUUUAUUUGAUAAGUCAGUCUACAUGAUCAUAUAAUAUCAUCUGUGAGCAGUUUAUCCCAUGGAGGCAUUUAAAGUAGAAAAACACUUUUCCAUCUGUUAAUGUUUGUAUCUGCCACUGUUACAAGAAAAGGGUGAAAAUGACUUGAUGGUCCCAGUAAAUUACAGUCGAAUUAAAGCAUGGUCAAAGUGUGGUGGUCAAACGCAGAAGGCAGUCUGUGGAGUGUGGAGUUCUGCAGGCUGGGGCCCCUCUGUCUGCUGUGCUCUCGCUGUGCAGGGCUCUGGAAGGGUAAGCCCAGCUACAGCUGCUCAGUGAGGAGGGAGACAGGCUCAGGCUGUGGCUCUUUAACUCCCCAGGAGACCUGGGCCACUGGGACCCCAGAAUCUUCAUUUGGAGCAACAGUUCUUCACAAAGCUGUCUGUAGGUUUCACAGACUGAUGCCCUUGGUAGCAUCUUGUACCAGGCCUCAGGAUGGGCCUGGGUCCUUGCUCCUGGAGAAUGGAGUAUGGAGGUGGCUCCUGCCAGCCUAAGAUAGAGUCAAGUAUGUCUCCAAGGUUGUUGUAGUUACUGAGCAGAGAGUCUUGAGUCUGGGACCCAUAUGCAUUAGUCUGCUGGGGCUGCCAUAACAAAGGCCUGCAGACUGGCUUAAACAACAGAUAUUUGUUUUCUCACAGUUCUGGAGGCUGGAGGUCCAACGUCUAGGUGUUGGUGUUGGCAGGGUUGGUUUCUCCUGAGGCCUCUUUCCUUGGCUUGUCUUCUCCCCUUGUCCUUACACGGCCUUCUCUCUGUGCAAGCAUCCCUGGGGUCUCUUUUUCUCCUUAUAAGGACCCCAGUCAUACUGGAUUAGUGAUCCAGCCCUAUGACCUAAUUCACCCUUACUUGUGUCUUGAAGGCCCUGUCUCCAAAUGCAGCCACAGGGGGGUUUAGGGCUUCAGCAUCUCUGGGGACACAGUUCAGUCUGCAGCAACAUUCCUGUCCCACCCGACAGAACAACAGACUGGCUGUGAUUGGAGCCUGGUCCUGAGACUCCACCGAGCUGUCCCAGUGUUCAGGGCAGUGUGCUCCGUGCCUUUGGGGUCGGUCUGAUCAUGGUGUGUAUGGGCUCUGGAAAUGGGAGGACUGUGGCUCCUGCAGCCAUCAGUCAGAGAAUGCAUGGCCGUUCAGUGCAGGCCGGCCUUAGUCACAGUCCCCACGGCUGCUCUGGUUGCUCCUCCUGCCCUGGUGACUUCCUUUUCUCAACUCCCUUAGGCACACAAAGACCCAUGCAUGCUUCCUCCCUCCUUCACCAAUAUCCCCAGGGAAGAUUAAAACAUAGGUCCACAUGAAUAUCUAAGUGGGUGAGGCAAAGAAAUUCUCAUUGUGCUCCUAAUUUCAGCUUGGUCCAAGUUACAGCUGCUGUGAAUCUCAUCUAAUACAUACCUAUAGUCAUAUAUUUUAUAUAUAUUUAUACAUGCUCACAUGUGUUGUGCAUGUGUGUGUGUACGUGUGUGUAUACAAACUUCCUCUUUAAAAUAUUGCUGGAUCAUUUUUAACUUCCUCUUACUUUAAAAUAUUCCUGGAUAUAUCGUUGCUUAAAGUACAUAAACUUGCAUGAAAUGAUUCAAUGUUUCCAAGAUUCUCAAAAGGUUAAAAAAGGAAAUAAACAUCUCCCAUCUUUCCAAAAUCUAUCAUUAUAACUAGGUAAUGUCUAGAUGUGGCUUAGUUCCCGUAGCAACUUCCGGGAACCAGCAAAGUGAUCGCCUCCGAGGUGAUGCAGCGGCCUAUGGAGUCUAAGAGUUUAUAGCUUGAAAACUGCUCUUGAAACAAAAGUCGUAUUCAUAUUUGAGAUGUUAAAAGGUGAAGAUUUUUGCACAUUUUCUGUCUUUGUUAUGAUAAAAUACCACUUUUGAGUUUGCUGAUCUC
Symphalangus syndactylus (siamang) is the source of this 4185-nucleotide long non-coding RNA. RefSeq lists it as uncharacterized. The record is from RefSeq and is a predicted model, not a curated record. Lineage: Eukaryota; Metazoa; Chordata; Mammalia; Primates; Hylobatidae.